GACAGAGGGUGCAAACGUUGCUCGGAAUUACUGGGCGUAAAGCGCGUGUAGGCGGACUGGUGUGUCGGAUGUGAAAUCCCCAGGCUCAACCUGGGAACUGCAUUCGAAACUGCCAGCCUUGAGUGGUGGAGAGGGAAGUGGAAUUCCUGGUGUAGAGGUGAAAUUCGUAGAUAUCAGGAGGAACGCCAGUGGCGAAGGCGGCUUCCCGGACACCAACUGACGCUGAGACGCGAAAGCGUGGGGAGCAAACAGG
RNAcentral lists this ribosomal RNA (253 nucleotides) under uncultured bacterium. Its description in RNAcentral is "partial 16S ribosomal RNA". It matches the Rfam family "Bacterial small subunit ribosomal RNA", at positions 524 to 776 of the family's 1533-position model. The record is from RNAcentral.